Molecule: ribosomal RNA, 301 nt
Filed under: uncultured bacterium
Lineage: Bacteria
Description: partial 16S ribosomal RNA
Rfam family: Bacterial small subunit ribosomal RNA
Source: RNAcentral
CAGCAGCCACGGGAAUACAGAGGGUGCGAGCGUUAAUCGGAUUUACUGGGCGUAAAGCGUGCGUAGGCGGCUUUUUAAGUCGGAUGUGAAAUCCCUGAGCUUAACUUAGGAAUUGCAUUCGAUACUGGGAAGCUAGAGUAUGGGAGAGGAUGGUAGAAUUCCAGGUGUAGCGGUGAAAUGCGUAGAGAUCUGGAGGAAUACCGAUGGCGAAGGCAGCCAUCUGGCCUAAUACUGACGCUGAGGUACGAAAGCGUGGGGAGCAAACAGGAUUAGAUACCCGCGUAGUCCCUGUCUCUUAUAC